RNAcentral lists this transfer RNA (54 nucleotides) under Steinernema carpocapsae. RNAcentral's name for it is "tRNA-Val". Lineage: Eukaryota; Metazoa; Nematoda; Chromadorea; Rhabditida; Steinernematidae. The record is from RNAcentral. RNAcentral also lists the same sequence under 1 other name.
AGACUUUUAGUUUAAAAAGAAUUUCCCACUUACAAUGGGGGGGUUAAAAGUCUU